GUUGAACGCUGGCGGCGUGCCUAAUACAUGCAAGUCGAACGCUGGAAAUCUAGCUUGCUAGAUUGAAGGAGUGGCGAACGGGUGAGUAAUACAUAAGCAACCUACCCACGAAGACUGGGAUAAUCUCUGGAAACGGGGACUAAUACCGGAUAGGUAAUCGGAAGGCAUCUUCUGAUUAUUAAAGGUUAAAAACACUGGUGGAUGGGCUUAUGGCGCAUUAGUUAGUUGGUGAGGUAACGGCCCACCAAGACGAUGAUGCGUAGCCGGCCUGAGAGGGUGAACGGCCACAUUGGGACUGAGACACGGCCCAGACUCCUACGGGAGGCAGCAGUAGGGAAUUUUCGGCAAUGGGGGAAACCCUGACCGAGCAACGCCGCGUGAGUGAUGACGGCCUUCGGGUUGUAAAGCUCUGUUGUAAGGGAAGAACGGUAGAUAGAGAAUAUCUAAAUGACGGUACCUUACCAGAAAGCCACGGCUAACUACGUG
RNAcentral lists this ribosomal RNA (486 nucleotides) under uncultured bacterium. RNAcentral describes it as "partial 16S ribosomal RNA". It matches the Rfam family "Bacterial small subunit ribosomal RNA", at positions 28 to 507 of the family's 1533-position model. The record is from RNAcentral.